GGCAAGAUGGCCGAGCGGUCUAAGGCGCCGGAUUUAAGUUCAGGCAUUCGAGCAAUGCUCUUAGCUGAUUCCCGGUGGGGCAAUCCCGCGCGAGUUCGAACCUCGCUCUUGUCA
Pterulicium gracile is the source of this 114-nucleotide non-coding RNA. The record is from the annotation of a GenBank genome assembly. Lineage: Eukaryota; Fungi; Basidiomycota; Agaricomycetes; Agaricales; Pterulaceae.